UACGGAGGGUGCAAGCGUUGCUCGGAAUUACUGGGCGUAAAGCGCGUGUAGGCGGUCCGGCAAGUCAGGUGUGAAAUCCCUCGGCUCAACUGAGGAACUGCGCCUGAUACUAUCGGACUCGAGUCCCGGAGAGGAUGGCAGAAUUCCCGGUGUAGAGGUGAAAUUCGUAGAUAUCGGGAGGAACACCAGUGGCGAAGGCGGCCAUCUGGACGGGUACUGACGCUGAGACGCGAAAGCGUGGGGAGCAAACAGGAUUAGAUACCCGGUAGU
Molecule: ribosomal RNA, 270 nt
Filed under: uncultured bacterium
Lineage: Bacteria
Description: partial 16S ribosomal RNA
Rfam family: Bacterial small subunit ribosomal RNA
Source: RNAcentral